GAUGAACGCUAGCGGCAGGCUUAAUACAUGCAAGUCGAACGGUAAGUUUGGGUAGCAAUAUCAAACCGAAGAGUGACGUACGGGUGCGUAACACGUAUGCAACCUACCUUGUACAGGGGUAGUAGCGUCGGGGAAACUCGAAUUAACACCCAUAAUAUGUUUGGUGUGGCAUCACACUAACAUUAAAACUCCGGUGGUACAAGAUGGGCAUGCGUCUGAUUAGUUAGUUGGGCGGGGAAUGGCCCACCAAGACGAUGAUCAGUA
RNAcentral lists this ribosomal RNA (264 nucleotides) under uncultured bacterium. Its description in RNAcentral is "partial 16S ribosomal RNA". It matches the Rfam family "Bacterial small subunit ribosomal RNA", at positions 28 to 285 of the family's 1533-position model. The record is from RNAcentral.